Molecule: long non-coding RNA, 1763 nt
Organism: Seriola aureovittata
Lineage: Eukaryota; Metazoa; Chordata; Actinopteri; Carangiformes; Carangidae
Exons: 3
Source: RefSeq, a predicted model, not a curated record
AAACUUCCAUAAAACCCUAAAACGAAAGUCUUUGUAAAACACACAUGACAUUGUUAGGCAAUUUAUCAAGUCUCAUUUUGUACAUACGACUUGGAAAACAACGUUUGCUAGAAUUUUUUUUUUUUUUUGGCGCCUGCUAGCAAACCGCUUCGUAUAACGUUAGCAUAAUGUUAGCGCCACUUGGGCCGUUAGGUUAACUUGGUUGUGACUACAGGCAACAUUUACAGAUCAGGUAGUUUUGCAGUUAGAGGAAAUGUGCUUCCUAACUCUCUUAUUAUUUUAUGCAUCCAGGUUAAAAACGUUAUAUUGCUGUUUAUUCCUAAAUUCAAAAUCUGCUUUUUUUGGAUGCACAAAAGCUAAUGUUAUCUGUUUUAAAUGGGAGUGCGGUAGGCUUCAUAUCAGACUUUUCCCUUUAUGAAUAAUUUAAUUUGUUUUAGUACGAAAAAUAAUAUAGUUUUUCAUAUGAUUUUCUACAUAUAGGCUGUGUGCGAGUGACAGUUAGUGAGAGCCAGCCUAUGCUGGCUAGAAUGGGCCGUGUGAACUGGACAAGCUGAAUGUGCAGGGGCUAGCCUAAGGGACAGUAAGAGUAUAUAAUAUUUCGUAAUGACUCAUUGAGACGGACUGGGAACAUUAUCUUUUAAGUAGAGAAUGUCGAGCUGUAUGUUUACUUCUUUACCUGAGGAAGAUGAGGUCGAUAGAAGUAUUCCUAUCAUAAAUAAGACAGUAACUUUGUGUUUAGUUGGAAAUCUUAAAAUUGUCAUGUUAGAUGUCAUAAUAUAAAUCUUCAUAUAAUCUUUAAAUUAUCAGAUGGUGUGAUCUUUUUGUAAAUUAUGGUGGUUUUAAUUCUACUGAUCUGACAUGCCCACUCCAAACUCCCCUGUCCUCAAUUUCCGUGACAGCCAGCUGUCGCAAAGCUUAAACUUCUCGAGACUCAACACAGACAACUCACGCUGCUGUCUAUUUUGAAAUACUUAGUUGUUGAGGAUGACACGUCUAAGAAAUACAAAAUACAAUUCGUGUGAAAGCUUUAGAGUGCACAGUUUACCACAGUCCUCAGCUAGUAUUAGCUGCUGCAAUGUCUAACUACUGUUGUGUUCUUUUAAUGCCCUCGUUUAAUUAGACUUAUGUGUCCUACAGAGGUAAUGCACAGUUGACAGAUGGUCAUCAACCCCACCAUGGUUAUUCUGUAGAGAAUAUUUUGAAUAAUUCAGUAUUUUCAGUUGUCUGGCUGGUCCUUUAAUAUAGUUUUGUAUGUGAUCAGUCUGCAGUUUCACUUUAUUUUCUUGUAUCAUCAUGUAGCUAUUAGUCUAAUUUGUUGUACUUAACAUCGCCAUUGUAGAAUGUAACAAUUCAUUUUAAUGCAAAAUGUUUUUCUGACAUCUUAAUACACUUGAUAAAUAUGUUUUUUAUAUCUUCAUAGAGAAAAGAAGAGCUGCCAACCAGGUUCAUCUAAGUCAUACAGCAGGGAGAGGUCCACUGCAUCUGCUGUUAUGCAAUGGGAUUCUGCUGCGACGGAGGCGCAAAUCAGAUCUGCAGCUGCAGAUCACUUGAAGCAUGCCCCGGGACGAGUUGGAGGAGGAGGUUACAAUUAGGUCUUGUUAGCAACUGAAUUUUUACUCUUUUCUAAUUUUAAAUACUUUUAUAUAUUUAUAGUUUUGUUAUUUUCGUUUUAUUCAAUGUUCACUGUUGUACAAUGUAUUUUAAAUGUGUUCGUGGCUUUUCAUCAAAGUUCUUGAAUAAAAUUGGAUAGUGUGAAUGUUAAA